AGGACGAACGCUUGCGGCGUGCCUAAGAAAUGCAAGUCGAGCGGGGGGAGCAAUCCCUAGCGGCGAACGGUCGCGUAACACGUAAGCAACCUGCCCGAAAGACCGGGACAACAGCUCGAAAGGGCUGCUAAUACCGGAUGUGUCCACUUUGCCUCAUGGCUUAGUGAGUAAAUCAUUUAUGGCUUUCGGAGGGGCUUGCGGCCUAUCAGCUAGAUGGCGGUGUAACGGACCACCAUGGCGACGACGGGUAGC
This 252-nucleotide ribosomal RNA is filed under the name uncultured bacterium. RNAcentral's name for it is "partial small subunit ribosomal RNA". It matches the Rfam family "Bacterial small subunit ribosomal RNA", at positions 26 to 287 of the family's 1533-position model. The record is from RNAcentral.